CAACACUCACAUAUCACAAAAUUAAUAUAUAUCUUGAUUUUGAAAAAAUGACAGAAUCUUUGUGGUAUAAAAUAAACCAUUUGAAGGGUUGAAAAGUUAUGUCAUGUGACAUAAUAUAAACUGUUAUAAAAAGAGUAAAGAUAAACACUACUAUUAGAGUAACAACAACUGCUACCACUAAAGAGAUUAAAAAUUAAACUUCAACUAAAUCCUUUUUGAGGUCUUUCAGAGGCAGUUCAACUCUGUAUGAACAUAAAGCUCAACUUUUUGCUCCGGGUUUUAUAAGGUUACCCACUUUGAGUAUAUCAUUAUUAUCAUUCAUGCAUUUUUUUUUCAUUUAGUGUUUUUAUUUUAUGAUUUGUUGUUUCAUUUCUAGUCUAAUGGAUAUUUUUUUAAUUAUGGAUUUGGGGUUGAGAUGGAGAUGAAGAUGAAAAUGAAGACGAAGGGAAUUUGUAAUUGGAUGAUGAGGAUCAACUAAGUGACAUCGAUCUUUGGUUUGAUGGACGAGCUUAUUUGUACUAGAUUCUGAUUAUGUACCAUGAUCAAAGCAUAGGAAGGAAGUAGGGAAUACUAAUCUUUAUUUUUUAUACAUCUAUUUGACUUUAUUUAAGGGAACGAAAACAUGAACUUCAUUGUUUAUACACCCACCACAGUGUUUAUCAUUUUGGUUUAUCAGUUUAUGAUUUGGAACUUUAGUUUUGUUGAAUUUGGUAUAAGACAUAAAAUUACAUAUUAGCUUAUAUAAAUUGUUCUUCACUUGCUAUGUGAGUGUUAAUUAUGUUGUUUCUUUGAAGAUUGUGAAAUAUGUAUACAAACUCCUAAUUUCAGUAUAUUUUGUAUUAAUGACAUAGAUCAAAGUGGUUUUCACAACAUUUGUGAGCUCUCAUAUCUUUGUUGAAAAUGUUUACACUUUUGCACUGCUUUGCUUCUUAUUUUAAUUGUAAAUUUACUACUAUUAUAUUUUUGCUUUAUUUUAUUUUACUUUUUUACUAUAAGAAAUGAGUAUUGUGGUUCUCUUUGGAA
RNAcentral lists this long non-coding RNA (1023 nucleotides) under Lathyrus oleraceus (garden pea). RNAcentral describes it as "Pisum sativum (pea) long non-coding RNA (PSAT_LNC000983)". The record is from RNAcentral. Lineage: Eukaryota; Viridiplantae; Streptophyta; Magnoliopsida; Fabales; Fabaceae.